This 771-nucleotide ribosomal RNA is filed under the name uncultured Neocallimastigales. RNAcentral's name for it is "partial large subunit ribosomal RNA". The stretch from base 4 to 661 matches the Rfam family "Eukaryotic large subunit ribosomal RNA", at positions 24 to 664 of the family's 3401-position model. Lineage: Eukaryota; Fungi; Neocallimastigomycota; Neocallimastigomycetes; Neocallimastigales. The record is from RNAcentral.
GUACACGCUGUGACUAGCAUAUCAAUAAGCGGAGGAAAAGAAACUAACAAGGAUUCCCUCAGUAACGGCGAGUGAAGCGGGAAGAGCUCAAAUUUGAAAUCUUGAAAGGUCACCUUUCACGAAUUGUAGUUUAAAGAAGUGUUUUCUGUUACGAUCGUAAUAUAAGUUCUUUGGAAUAGGACAUCACAGAGGGUGAGAAUCCCGUCUAUGAUUGCGAUUUGUAGCUUUGUGAUACACUUUCAAAGAGUCGGGUUGUUUGGGAAUGCAGCCCAAAACGGGAGGUAAAUUUCUUCUAAGGCUAAAUAUUGGCGAGAGACCGAUAGCGAACAAGUACCGUGAGGGAAAGAUGAAAAGAACUUUGAAAAGAGAGUUAAAUAGUACGUGAAAUUGUCAAAAGGGAAGCGUUUAACACCAGUGUUGUUUUCUGAAAAUCAACCUCUGUUAGCUUUAUGCAUGUUUGUUUAGACCUAAUCAGCUAUCUUUCAUGUUCUAUUGUUUGCAGAGGUGCACUUUUCAGUUUACAGGUCAACAUCAGUUUUUUUUACUGUAAAAAAGUUAAAGAAAGGUAGCUCAUGGCUCCGGUCGUGAGUGUUAUAGUCUUUUUCCUAUGCGGUAGGAGAGACUGAGGUCUGCAGUGUAGGCUAUUUGGCUAGAUACUCAGGUGCUAUGUGAUACCAUUUCAUAAACAACUUGUUGAUUAUGUUUUGUCUAUUGCAUACUCGCUUGUACUAUCAUACCUACGCUUAGGAUGUUGAGUAGCGACAUACGCAC